CAGCAGGCGCGAAAACUUUACAAUGCGGGAAACCGUGAUAAGGGGACACCGAGUGCCAGCAUCAUAUGCUGGCUGUCCGGAUGUGUAAAAUACAUCCGUUAGCAAGGGCCGGGCAAGACCGGUGCCAGCCGCCGCGGUAACACCGGCGGCCCGAGUGGUGAUCGUGAUUAUUGGGUCUAAAGGGUCCGUAGCCGGUUUGGUCAGUCCUCCGGGAAAUCUGAUAGCUCAACUAUUAGGCUUUCGGGGGAUACUGCCAGACUUGGAACCGGGAGAGGUAAGAGGUACUACAGGGGUAGGAGUGAAAUCUUGUAAUCCCUGUGGGACCACCUGUGGCGAAGGCGUCUUACCAGAACGGGUUCGACGGUGAGGGACGAAAGCUGGGGGCACGAACCGGAUUAGAUACCCGGGUAGUCCCAGCCGUAAACGAUGCUCGCUAGGUGUCAGGCAUGGCGCGACCGUGUCUGGUGCCGCAGGGAAGCCGUGAAGCGAGCCACCUGGAA
RNAcentral lists this ribosomal RNA (500 nucleotides) under Methanosarcina sp. RNAcentral's name for it is "bacterial SSU rRNA". It matches the Rfam family "Archaeal small subunit ribosomal RNA", at positions 333 to 833 of the family's 1478-position model. The record is from RNAcentral. Lineage: Archaea; Methanobacteriati; Methanobacteriota; Methanomicrobia; Methanosarcinales; Methanosarcinaceae.